GACGAACGCUGGCGGCGUGCUUAACACAUGCAAGUCGAACGGAAAGGCCUGCUUUCCCUUGUGGAUUGCGGGUGCUCGAGUGGCGAACGGGUGAGUAACACGUGAGUGAUCUGCCCCCAACUUGGGUAUAAGCCUGGGAAACUGGGUCUAAUUCCCGAUAGGACUGCAGGGUGGUGCCUGUGGUGGAAAACGAUUUUCUAGUGGUUGGGGAUGAGCUCGCGGCCUAUCAGCUUGUUGGUGGGGUAAUGGCCUACCAAGGCGGCGACGGGUAGCCGGCCUGAGAGGGUGGACGGCCACAUUGGGACUGAGAUACGGCCCAGAAUCCUACGGGAGGCAGCAGUGGGGAAUAUUGCACAAUGGGCGGAAGCCUGAUGCAGCGACGCCGCGUGGGGGAUGACGGCCUUCGGGUUGUAAACUCCUUUCGACCGCGAGGAAGCCACCUGGUUGGAAGGGUGGUGACGGUAGUGGUAGAAGAAGCACCGGCUAACUACGUG
This 494-nucleotide ribosomal RNA is filed under the name uncultured bacterium. Its description in RNAcentral is "partial 16S ribosomal RNA". It matches the Rfam family "Bacterial small subunit ribosomal RNA", at positions 28 to 507 of the family's 1533-position model. The record is from RNAcentral.